Molecule: transfer RNA, 73 nt
Filed under: Camelus bactrianus (Bactrian camel)
Lineage: Eukaryota; Metazoa; Chordata; Mammalia; Artiodactyla; Camelidae
Also listed under: 2 other names
Rfam family: tRNA
About the family: Transfer RNA (tRNA) molecules are approximately 80 nucleotides in length. Their secondary structure includes four short double-helical elements and three loops (D, anti-codon, and T loops).
Source: Rfam by way of RNAcentral
GGGCAUAUAGCUCAAGUGGUAGAGCACAUGCUUAGCAUGCAGGAAGCCCUGAGUUCAAUCCCCAGUACCUCCA